Long non-coding RNA from Austrofundulus limnaeus, 274 nucleotides. RefSeq lists it as uncharacterized. NCBI's taxonomy places the organism in Eukaryota, Metazoa, Chordata, Actinopteri, Cyprinodontiformes, Rivulidae. The transcript is spliced from 2 exons. The record is from RefSeq and is a predicted model, not a curated record.
GGGAGAGGAGCUGGAUAACGAGCUGAAACUUUAGUGUUUGCUGGGAAGAAGUUUGUGCACAACUGGAUWUCUCAGGACUCAGUCUCAGCUGAACCAAAACGGAAGGAUGAGAACGCAUCUGUUGAAAUGUUGUCUACCCAGAGCGGCUCCAAGUCUCCACAUCCCACAAAUGAGAAGGACCCUUCACUCUGAGCUGUUCAGGGGCCGUCGAGCCCCUCCUAACAGUCCAGCACCUGCAGAACUAAAUAAAUUAGACUGGAUGCUUCUUUCACGA